UACGUAGGGGGCUAGCGUUGUCCGGAAUCAUUGGGCGUAAAGCGCGUGUAGGCGGUCCGGUAAGUCCGCUGUGAAAGUCGGGGGCUCAACCCUCGAAUGCCGGUGGAUACUGUCGGGCUAGAGUGCGGAAGAGGCGAGUGGAAUUCCUGGUGUAGCGGUGAAAUGCGCAGAUAUCAGGAGGAACACCAAUUGCGAAGGCAGCUCGCUGGGACGUUACUGACGCUGAGACGCGGAAGCGUGGGGAGCAAACAGG
Molecule: ribosomal RNA, 253 nt
Filed under: uncultured bacterium
Lineage: Bacteria
Description: partial 16S ribosomal RNA
Rfam family: Bacterial small subunit ribosomal RNA
Source: RNAcentral